UACAGAGGGUGCAAGCGUUGCUCGGAAUUAUUGGGCGUAAAGGGUAGGUAGGUGGUCUCAUUUGUCGGGGGUGAAAGCCUUGGGCUUAAUCCAAGAAGUGCCUUCGAAACGGUGAGACUGGAGUCCUGGAGAGGGUCGUGGAAUUCCCGGUGUAGCGGUGAAAUGCGCAGAUAUCGGGAAGAACACCCGUGGCGAAGGCGGCUCUCUGGGACGGUACUGACGCUGAGACGCGAAAGCGUGGGGAGCGAACAGG
This 253-nucleotide ribosomal RNA is filed under the name uncultured bacterium. RNAcentral's name for it is "partial 16S ribosomal RNA". It matches the Rfam family "Bacterial small subunit ribosomal RNA", at positions 524 to 776 of the family's 1533-position model. The record is from RNAcentral.